RNAcentral lists this ribosomal RNA (500 nucleotides) under Salmonella enterica. RNAcentral's name for it is "bacterial SSU rRNA". It matches the Rfam family "Bacterial small subunit ribosomal RNA", at positions 1 to 490 of the family's 1533-position model. Lineage: Bacteria; Pseudomonadati; Pseudomonadota; Gammaproteobacteria; Enterobacterales; Enterobacteriaceae. The record is from RNAcentral.
AAAUUGAAGAGUUUGAUCAUGGCUCAGAUUGAACGCUGGCGGCAGGCCUAACACAUGCAAGUCGAACGGUAACAGGAAGCAGCUUGCUGCUUCGCUGACGAGUGGCGGACGGGUGAGUAAUGUCUGGGAAACUGCCUGAUGGAGGGGGAUAACUACUGGAAACGGUGGCUAAUACCGCAUAACGUCGCAAGACCAAAGAGGGGGACCUUCGGGCCUCUUGCCAUCAGAUGUGCCCAGAUGGGAUUAGCUUGUUGGUGAGGUAACGGCUCACCAAGGCGACGAUCCCUAGCUGGUCUGAGAGGAUGACCAGCCACACUGGAACUGAGACACGGCCCAGACUCCUACGGGAGGCAGCAGUGGGGAAUAUUGCACAAUGGGCGCAAGCCUGAUGCAGCCAUGCCGCGUGUAUGAAGAAGGCCUUCGGGUUGUAAAGUACUUUCAGCGGGGAGGAAGGUGUUGUGGUUAAUAACCGCAGCAAUUGACGUUACCCGCAGAAGAAG